RNAcentral lists this ribosomal RNA (468 nucleotides) under uncultured bacterium. RNAcentral's name for it is "partial 16S ribosomal RNA". It matches the Rfam family "Bacterial small subunit ribosomal RNA", at positions 28 to 507 of the family's 1533-position model. The record is from RNAcentral.
GACGAACGCUGGCGGCGUGCUUAACACAUGCAAGUCGAACGGAAAGGCCCUGCUCUUGUGGGGUGCUCGAGUGGCGAACGGGUGAGUAACACGCGAGUAACCUGCCCUUGACUUUCUGAUAACUUCAGGAAACUGGGGCUCAUACCGGAUAGGAGCUCUUGCUGCAUGGUGGGGGUUGGAAAGAUUCGGCGGUUGGGGAUGGUCUCGCGGCUUAUCAGCUUGUUGGUGAGGUAGUGGCUUACGAAGGCUUUGACGGGUAGCCGGCCUGAGAGGGUGACCGGCCACAUUGGGACUGAGAGACGGCCCAGACUCCUACGGGAGGCAGCAGUGGGGAAUAUUGCACAAUGGGCGGGAGCCUGAUGCAGCAACGCCGCGUGCGGGAUGACGGCCUUCGGGGUGUAAACCGCUUUCGCCUGUGACGAAGCGUGAGUGACGGUAAUGGGUAAAGAAGCACCGGCUAACUACGUG